This 585-nucleotide ribosomal RNA is filed under the name uncultured bacterium. RNAcentral's name for it is "bacterial SSU rRNA". It matches the Rfam family "Bacterial small subunit ribosomal RNA", at positions 338 to 916 of the family's 1533-position model. The record is from RNAcentral.
CCUACGGGAGGCAGCAGUAGGGAAUCUUCCGCAAUGGACGAAAGUCUGACGGAGCAACGCCGCGUGAACGAUGAAGGCCUUCGGGUCGUAAAGUUCUGUUGUUAGGGAAGAACAAGUGCUAGUUAAAUAAGCUGGCACCUUGACGGUACCUAACCAGAAAGCCACGGCUAACUACGUGCCAGCAGCCGCGGUAAUACGUAGGUGGCAAGCGUUGUCCGGAAUUAUUGGGCGUAAAGCGCGCGCAGGCGGUUUCUUAAGUCUGAUGUGAAAGCCCCCGGCUCAACCGGGGAGGGUCAUUGGAAACUGGGAAACUUGAGUGCAGAAGAGGAAAGUGGAAUUCCAAGUGUAGCGGUGAAAUGCGUAGAGAUUUGGAGGAACACCAGUGGCGAAGGCGACUUUCUGGUCUGUAACUGACGCUGAGGCGCGAAAGCGUGGGGAGCAAACAGGAUUAGAUACCCUGGUAGUCCACGCUGUGAACGAUGAGUGCUAAGUGUUAGAGGGUUUCCGCCUUUAGUGCUGAAGUUAACGCAUUAAGCACUCCGCCUGGGGAUACGGUCGCAAGACUGAACUCAAAUGAAUUGACGG